CCUACGGGGGGCAGCAGUGAGGAAUAUUGGUCAAUGGACGAGAGUCUGAACCAGCCAAGUAGCGUGAAGGAUGACUGCCCUAUGGGUUGUAAACUUCUUUUAUAUGGGAAUAAAAUGUUCCACGUGUGGGAUUUUGUAUGUACCAUAUGAAUAAGGAUCGGCUAACUCCGUGCCAGCAGCCGCGGUAAUACGGAGGAUCCGAGCGUUAUCCGGAUUUAUUGGGUUUAAAGGGAGCGUAGGUGGAUGGUUAAGUCAGUUGUGAAAGUUUGCGGCUCAACCGUAAAAUUGCAGUUGAAACUGGCAGUCUUGAGUACAGUAGAGGUGGGCGGAAUUCGUGGUGUAGCGGUGAAAUGCUUAGAUAUCACGAAGAACUCCGAUUGCGAAGGCAGUUCACUGGACUGCAACUGACACUGAGGCUCGAAAGUGUGGGUAUCAAACAGGAUUAGAUACCCUAGUAGUC
Molecule: ribosomal RNA, 460 nt
Filed under: uncultured bacterium
Lineage: Bacteria
Description: partial 16S ribosomal RNA
Rfam family: Bacterial small subunit ribosomal RNA
Source: RNAcentral